GGCUUGCCUCCGCUUGCUGGCCGGCGCGCGUGUUUCUCUCCCUUCGGCUUACAGCAUCCGCCGGACCUUCUCCUCUCUCCGCCUACGCGGUACGAGUAUGCUGUGUGCGCCAGUGCGCCCGCAAGCCCGCAAGUUCGCGCUCCGCCACGCAGCCCAAGCUCUCUCUAGCCGCGCGCUGAUCGGCCACGUUCGUCAGCCGGGCCCCACGCAAAAAGGCAGCGGGGCCGCGCGCGAGCCGACUGGACACGGACACACACGACGGACGAUUUCUUACUGUUAAUUCGAAGACAAACACGAACGAACGGACCGGGCCGGCUUGGCGAGCAACGCGUCUCCAAGACAAGUCUCUUAAGGAAACGAUCAUUCUUAUAUACUAUAUAUACAUAUACAUAGUAACGUUCUCGCUCGCCGCUCAAGGAAACAGUUCGACGACGUGGUGUGACACGUAAUACGAGUGAAAACAUUCGAAACACGCGCGCUCCGACCUGAUCACACGAGACCUCUUCGAAGAAACGGGCAGUGACUGUGAGGAAACGAACAGGAUAUCACGGACUGCUAUCCAGUGCGCUGUUUUCGUUUGUGAAACACCGUUUACGCACGUCCUCGAACACGUCUUCUUGGGAUCGCCGCGAUCGUACAGAUUGACGAAUGACGACGUAACAGAGAGCUGGCUGGUGCGCGGAUACCGGGACACAAGAGGGGACAGCAUCUUUCAAAUCGCCACAGCAACGUUUAUCACGAAUAAGAAGAACCGCGGGAAGGAAAAUCGAGACGAGGGAGCGAGGGGCA
Molecule: long non-coding RNA, 789 nt
Organism: Bombus huntii
Lineage: Eukaryota; Metazoa; Arthropoda; Insecta; Hymenoptera; Apidae
Exons: 4
Source: RefSeq, a predicted model, not a curated record